RNAcentral lists this long non-coding RNA (922 nucleotides) under Brassica napus (rape). RNAcentral's name for it is "long non-coding RNA (BNAP_LNC003201)". The record is from RNAcentral. Lineage: Eukaryota; Viridiplantae; Streptophyta; Magnoliopsida; Brassicales; Brassicaceae.
GGGGGGGUGAGUGUUGUGAUUAUGAUUUGGGAGCAAUAAAAAAGGAAAAGAAAUGACUCUUUGUGUUUAAGUGAAUUGUCUUAUUGGGAUAAGUAGAAAAACCUCUAGCUCAAGUUAUGAAAAGUGCCCCCAUCUAAAAAAAAAAAAGAAAUAAAAUAUAAAAAGAAAAGAAAAAGAAAGAAAAAUAGGGCUAGCAAAGUUGUUAGGAGCUAAGUAAUGUUUUGAGGUUGUGGAAAAUCCCUUGUAGAUUUCAAAGAGAAGGAGUAAGUUCUUAGGAUCUUUUGGUGAGAGAUGUGAGUUGGGUUUGACAUUUGGGAAUGAUUGUGUAAUUGUAUGUUUGGGAAAAAGAUAGAACAAUGGAGAUUGAGCAUUGUAAGCAUGAGUUGAUCCCUUUUUUAGAUAUAUUAUGUGCAAUGUCAAGGCUACUUGUUUCGAGAGUAAACCACCUUAAAGAUCAUAUAUUUUGAACCUCUUGACUCACUUGAAUAAAAGCCUUCCCUUACCCAGCCAAAUGACUUGGACCAACUGACCAUUUCCAAGAACUCACCUGAUGUUUUGUGCUUAAUGAAUGUGAGAGUUGGUUGAUUUGAAUGUGUGGAUGCUUGAUGAUGAGUGUAAGGGCAAAAAGAGUUGAGAUAGGCCAAGAGAAGCUAGAGUGUAAUAAGAGAGUGUGCUAGUUGUGUUUGCUAGUUGUGUUUCUUUUGGCUAUGAGCUCUCACCUUCAAACCUCUCUGCCUAUGAGUUCUAGAAAGUUUACUUGUGGACAAGUAAAAGAACAAGUUUGAGGGAGUUGAUAUCUUGCAUAUUUGCAUUGUUUUAUCCAUUCAUCCAUGAGCAUUUUUAUCAUAUAGAUUAGGAUUUAGCCAUGUCUAGGUUGUAUUUUGCAUUCAUUGUCCUUAUUAGGUGUUGGAGUGUGCCAUGG